RNAcentral lists this ribosomal RNA (390 nucleotides) under Triticum aestivum (bread wheat). RNAcentral describes it as "partial small subunit ribosomal RNA". Lineage: Eukaryota; Viridiplantae; Streptophyta; Magnoliopsida; Poales; Poaceae. The record is from RNAcentral.
AUGGCGGGAAGUAGCCACCGCCGCAUUGCGACACCGCAAUACGAGUUGGAUGCUUCCGAGUUGUUUAGUAUCAUACUUGGGACUUCAGUAUCAUCCAUGAUGCAGGAUCUGCCAAAUAAUGUGAAGCUGCGACAGGCCGACAGCGGGUUUCGCAGGCAGUGGGAUCUGGAGUUGGUGAUCAAGGAGGGCCACAUGUACUUGUCUCGUGGGUGGGAGAAGUUCUACCGUGCCUACGACCUGCGGCUGGGGUACUUCCUUCUCUUCAGGUACGACGACGACGCCACCAUGCUCAUCGUGAAGGUGUUCAACGCGACUAUUUGUCGCAUGCGCUACGCUGACGAUGAUGAUGCCGGUAAUGGGAGUAGCACAGCGAUUCUGGCAGCAGCAUAG